GCGGCCGCCGAGCACAUGGACCCGCUGGUCAAGCGGGCUCGGCAAGGCCAGGAUGAAGAGAAGCUACGAACUUAGCAUUCCCAGAGCCCCCCGAGUGGAUAUCCGCGUGGAAAGGAUGUUGGCAGCCCCGGUGACCUCGGAGUCACGGCUGGAUCCACCCUCUUUAUACCCUUUAAGCGUUCCAGAAGGAUUUUGAGAUCCUUUCCUAAAUCAAAGGUGGAAUAUUUGGGGAUUUGGAAAAUUGAGAUGAGAAGCAUUGACUUAAGAGAUGCCAAGUAACUCAGCAGAUGUCACACAGACGAUAAAUAGCAAAGAUGGAAGUCUUCAUGCCGGAGGUAAUCCUAUAAGACAGCUGAGUUCUGCAGAGCUGGAGACAGACUUGCUCAGGUGAUAGAUCCAGCCAUGAUACUGACCCUAAGAGAAUGAGACACUCUGCAGAAGACAGAAGAUUCCUGAAACUGGGAAAGGUGCCUAGAAAUCCUAAGAAGAGUGAAGAAGACUCGGCUCUCCAGUGUGGUUUUCCAACAGGAGUCAAAUAUUAAAGGACAUGAGCGUGUUGGGGAAAAAGAUGGGUGGUGCUAAACAGCCUGAGUUGAUCCUCACUAUCCUCUUCAUAAGGAGAGCAAGAAGAACCCCGGAAAUGGCUCAUGCUUAAGGUUUCUAACUACGGUCACACCUACAACACACUGAUUGACAAUAUAGGUUACAGCACACA
This 715-nucleotide long non-coding RNA is filed under the name Mus spretus (western wild mouse). RNAcentral's name for it is "Pvt1 oncogene (ENSMSPG00010025769.1)". The stretch from base 8 to 164 matches the Rfam family "Pvt1 oncogene conserved region 1". The record is from RNAcentral. Lineage: Eukaryota; Metazoa; Chordata; Mammalia; Rodentia; Muridae.